GUAGGGAAUAUUGGACAAUGGGGGGAACCCUGAUCCAGCCAUGCCGCGUGUGUGAAGAAGGCCUUUUGGUUGUAAAGCACUUUAAGCGAGGAGGAGGCUACCGAGAUUAAUACUCUUGGAUAGUGGACGUUACUCGCAGAAUAAGCACCGGCUAACUCUGUGCCAGCAGCCGCGGUAAUACAGAGGGUGCAAGCGUUAAUCGGAUUUACUGGGCGUAAAGCGCGCGUAGGUGGCCAAUUAAGUCAAAUGUGAAAUCCCCGAGCUUAACUUGGGAAUUGCAUUCGAUACUGGUUGGCUAGAGUAUGGGAGAGGAUGGUAGAAUUCCAGGUGUAGCGGUGAAAUGCGUAGAGAUCUGGAGGAAUACCGAUGGCGAAGGCAGCCAUCUGGCCUAAUACUGACACUGAGGUGCGAAAGCAUGGGGAGCAAACAGGAUUAGAAACCCUUGUAGUCC
This 451-nucleotide ribosomal RNA is filed under the name uncultured bacterium. RNAcentral's name for it is "bacterial SSU rRNA". It matches the Rfam family "Bacterial small subunit ribosomal RNA", at positions 354 to 796 of the family's 1533-position model. The record is from RNAcentral.